UUGGAGGGCAAGUCUGGUGCCAGCAGCCGCGGUAAUUCCAGCUCCAAUAGCGUAUAUUAAAGUUGUUGCAGUUAAAAAGCUCGUAGUUGAACUUCAGGCCUGUCCAGAUGGUCCGCCUUAAUUGGUGUGUACUGUCCUUGGGUGGGUCCUACCUUCUGGCGAAGCGACAUGGCCUUAAUUGGUUGUGUCGGGGAACCAGAACUUUUACUGUGAAAAAAUUAGAGUGUUCAAAGCAGGCAUAUAUGCUCGAAUACAUUAGCAUGGAAUAAUGGAAUAGGACGAUGGUUCUAUUUUGUUGGUUCUAGGACCGUUGUAAUGAUUAAUAGGGAUAGUUGGGGGCAUUAGUAUUCAAUUGUCAGAGGUGAAAUUCUUGGAUUUAUUGAAGACUAACUACUGCGAAAGCAUUUGCCAAGGAUGUUUUCAUUAAUCAAGAACGAAAGUUAGGGGAUCGAAGACGAUCAGAUACCGUCGUAGUCUUAACCAUAAACUAUGCCGACUAGGAAUCGGGCGAUGUUGACAAAAUGACUCGCUCGGCACCUCAUGGGAAACCAAAGUGUUUGGGUUC
RNAcentral lists this ribosomal RNA (565 nucleotides) under uncultured Glomeromycotina. RNAcentral's name for it is "bacterial SSU rRNA". It matches the Rfam family "Eukaryotic small subunit ribosomal RNA", at positions 548 to 1114 of the family's 1831-position model. Lineage: Eukaryota; Fungi; Glomeromycota. The record is from RNAcentral.